GACGAACGCUGGCGGCGUGCCUAAUACAUGCAAGUCGAGCGGACCAAACAGGAGCUUGCUCUUGUUUGGUUAGCGGCGGACGGGUGAGUAACACGUGGGUAACCUGCCCGUAAGACCGGGAUAACUCCGGGAAACCGGAGCUAAUACCGGAUAACACCGAAGACCGCAUGGUCUUUGGUUGAAAGGCGGCUUCGGCUGCCACUUACGGAUGGGCCCGCGGCGCAUUAGCUAGUUGGUGAGGUAACGGCUCACCAAGGCGACGAUGCGUAGCCGGCCUGAGAGGGUGACCGGCCACACUGGGACUGAGACGCGGCCCAGACUCCUCCGGGAGGCAGCAGUAGGGAAUCUUCCGCAAUGGACGAAAGUCUGACGGAGCGACGCCGCGUGAGCGAAGAAGGUCUUCGGAUCGUAAAGCUCUGUUGUUAGGGAAGAAGAAGCGCCGUUCGAACAGGGCGGCGCGGUGACGGUACCUAACGAGAAAGCCCCGGCUAACUACGU
RNAcentral lists this ribosomal RNA (498 nucleotides) under uncultured bacterium. RNAcentral describes it as "partial 16S ribosomal RNA". It matches the Rfam family "Bacterial small subunit ribosomal RNA", at positions 28 to 506 of the family's 1533-position model. The record is from RNAcentral.